UGGGGAAUCUUGGACAAUGGGGGCAACCCUGAUCCAGCCAUGCCGCGUGAGUGAAGAAGGCCCUAGGGUCGUAAAGCUCUUUCGCCUGUGAAGAUAAUGACGGUACCCGCAGAAGAAGCCCCGGCUAACUCCGUGCCAGCAGCCGCGGUAAUACGGAGGGGGCAAGCGUUGUUCGGAAUUACUGGGCGUAAAGGGCGCGUAGGCGGCACAUCAAGUCAGAGGUGAAAGCCCCGGGCUCAACCUGGGAAUUGCCUUUGAAACUGAUGAGCUAGAGUCCGGAAGAGGAUAGCGGAAUUCCCAGUGUAGAGGUGAAAUUCGUAGAUAUUGGGAAGAACACCAGUGGCGAAGGCGGCUAUCUGGUCCGGUACUGACGCUGAGGCGCGAAAGCGUGGGGAGCAAACAGGAUUAGAUACCCCUGUAGUCC
RNAcentral lists this ribosomal RNA (424 nucleotides) under uncultured prokaryote. Its description in RNAcentral is "bacterial SSU rRNA". It matches the Rfam family "Bacterial small subunit ribosomal RNA", at positions 355 to 796 of the family's 1533-position model. The record is from RNAcentral.